This 253-nucleotide ribosomal RNA is filed under the name uncultured bacterium. RNAcentral describes it as "partial 16S ribosomal RNA". It matches the Rfam family "Bacterial small subunit ribosomal RNA", at positions 524 to 776 of the family's 1533-position model. The record is from RNAcentral.
UACGUGGGGUGCGAGCGUUGUCCGGAAUUAUUGGGCGUGAAGAGCUCGUAGGCGGUUUGUCGCGUCGACUGUGAAAACCCGAGGCUUAACCUCGGGCCUGCAGUCGAUACGGGCAGACUAGAGUUCGGUAGGGGAGACUGGAAUUCCUGGUGUAGCGGUGAAAUGCGCAGAUAUCAGGAGGAACACCGGUGGCGAAGGCGGGUCUCUGGGCCGAUACUGACGCUGAGGAGCGAAAGCGUGGGGAGCGAACAGG